UUACGGCCAUAUCAUGUUGAAUCAACGGUUCCCUUAUGAUCAACGAAGUAAAGCAAUAUCGAGCCUGGUCAGUACCUACAAGGGUGAUCGCCUGGAAGUACCAGAUACUGCAGU
This is a non-coding RNA of Acanthosepion pharaonis, 114 nucleotides long. Lineage: Eukaryota; Metazoa; Mollusca; Cephalopoda; Sepiida; Sepiidae. The record is from the annotation of a GenBank genome assembly.